RNAcentral lists this ribosomal RNA (494 nucleotides) under Lacticaseibacillus rhamnosus. RNAcentral describes it as "bacterial SSU rRNA". It matches the Rfam family "Bacterial small subunit ribosomal RNA", at positions 56 to 515 of the family's 1533-position model. The record is from RNAcentral. Lineage: Bacteria; Bacillati; Bacillota; Bacilli; Lactobacillales; Lactobacillaceae.
UGCAGUCGAACGAGUUCUGAUUAUUGAAAGGUGCUUGCAUCUUGAUUUAAUUUUGAACGAGUGGCGGACGGGUGAGUAACACGUGGGUAACCUGCCCUUAAGUGGGGGAUAACAUUUGGAAACAGAUGCUAAUACCGCAUAAAUCCAAGAACCGCAUGGUUCUUGGCUGAAAGAUGGCGUAAGCUAUCGCUUUUGGAUGGACCCGCGGCGUAUUAGCUAGUUGGUGAGGUAACGGCUCACCAAGGCAAUGAUACGUAGCCGAACUGAGAGGUUGAUCGGCCACAUUGGGACUGAGACACGGCCCAAACUCCUACGGGAGGCAGCAGUAGGGAAUCUUCCACAAUGGACGCAAGUCUGAUGGAGCAACGCCGCGUGAGUGAAGAAGGCUUUCGGGUCGUAAAACUCUGUUGUUGGAGAAGAAUGGUCGGCAGAGUAACUGUUGUCGGCGUGACGGUAUCCAACCAGAAAGCCACGGCUAACUACGUGCCAGCACG